Molecule: long non-coding RNA, 2042 nt
Organism: Sparus aurata (gilthead seabream)
Lineage: Eukaryota; Metazoa; Chordata; Actinopteri; Spariformes; Sparidae
Source: Ensembl
GUUCUCUCCGAGCAUCUCGUACCAUAUGUGUUGCGGAGAGACUUCUUUAACGCGAUCUGCUGACUUUUAAAGUCAAAGCAGCGUGUCUGUUUUGUGUUAGGUGUGUGACACUGUGACCCUCCGUUCAUGUCCUGCACAUAUAUCCCCGUCCCUCCAAGCGGGGCUAACAGAGUUAACAGGAUAUCUGCACUGAGUAAAACUCAGAACAGCUCUUUUCAUGACAGCAGCAAUUAAUCCUGCUUUUCUGAGACAGGCUCUUUUCCUGAGCAUCAACAUUUUUACUCGUACUGUAUAUGCAGCAGAUAACAAAACGCACAUUAUUUCAUUUAUUAUUUUACAGUGCUUUAUAAAGAAGGGACAUUAGGAGGAGAGAGAAUCAGGUUGCAUCCCUUCUACCGACAGGUGAUACCAGAAAACAUGAAAGAAAAGAUAAAUCUCAGUUUAAAGUUGAAUUCUAUAGGCUAUUGAUUCUUGUGUGGGCGGUGAUUAUGCAACGGAAGCUAAGCUAGGUCGUGCAUUUGUGUGUCCACUCCAUCCCCGUGGACUCUGCACCAUAAAACCAAAAACAUGCUCUGGGUCAGCAGGUACUGGAUAAACAGUCUGCUUGUUGAUAAAUAAGAAAUCACGCUUUUCAUGUGCCGAAAACACAUCCUGAACUCGGAGCACUGCUGCCAGAAUGAACAUCCACUUGGACCUUCUGUUCAGCGAUGCCUCGCUCACACCUGAGCACCAUUCGCUGAAGAUUCGGUCGCGUCAAGGCCAAAGCCUGCACGCUCGCAUGCGCUCUGCUCUCUCUAACAGGAAAUAAUCAGCAGUGCUCGCAGCCUCUUCCUCGACAGUGAAGCCUUCCCUUUUUUUUUUUCUUCUCACAACACUCCCCCUGAAACUGCAGGGAGCAAAGCUUGUCAGGGAUUAACCAAACCACAGUGCUGCUACAAACUGUCUUCCCUCCGCUCCGGGGAUAGAGACGAAAAAAAAGAGGGAGAAGAGGAGCAGCACCCUCUAAUUUGCCACAGGAUAUGUGUCACACUUGGACGCUACAGCAGCAGCAGCAGCAGCAUAGGCUCACCGUGGUGCCUCAGCGUGCUGCGUUAUUGGCCGGUCCCUCCAGUCGUUACCAGGGGCGUGGAACCGAGCGAGCUGAAUGGGAAACACAUCGUUGUGCCUCGCCGCUGCCGUAUUAACCUAAAGGGAGGGAGGGAGACGAUGACAGAAGAAUACAGUUGUCCUCGUCAAUUGGUGUUGAUUGCCGAGGGGACGACAGGAGAGCUGAAAUCUCCCACGUUUUAAAGCGCCCCGACUGGUCUUGAACUACACGCCCCGCAUUCAGGAGCCACGAAGAAGAAGAAGAAGGAGCCGCGGACAGACGCGGCAUCGUUAGCUGCUGUAUCCGCAACCGAGAGGAGGGAUGCGAGGACUUGAAAGGACAUAAAUACGUUUUCCUCAUUUUUUUUCACCCCCACCUCUCCCCCGUCGGGAUGGGCUCAGUGCUCAGUUAGCAAAAGACGGAGUUGAAUUCGAAUUUCUUUGGGUUAGCGUGAAAAUGAGGAUAAAAUGCAGAUAGGGCGUUUUAAAGUCCACCUCUCAGCCGCGGGCACUCGAGUAACGUUAGCAACGUUUUUCUAUCACUAGACCUGGCAGGUCCGCCCGGGUCGCUCACGUGAGUUUAGUCGAGGUGUAGUCGCUUUUCUUCUAUUUUUUUUUUUUUUUUAAACAAGGUGAGUCCCAUUUUGCUUCAAUGUAACUCUGAUAAAAUGUUUCCGACACUAACUAACCUCUUCCUACCGCCCAAACGUCUGUUCUGAAUUAGCGAACUUAACGUUAACUUGUGUCGUCAAAGCCAGUUUUGCUAGUUUCUCCAUAAUGGCUUCUGCUAACAGUGUGUUUUUAAACUCCUGGGCUCGUCUUGUUCAUCCACCUGCUUUCACUGACACCAACUAACUCCCAACUCCGUCAUGACUCACGCCCAUUAAACAAAUGUUUAACGUUAUAGCUUUCAGCUUUGCCCUCCACAGAACAUGCUGUGGUUUUGUUUCACUAAC